Molecule: ribosomal RNA, 305 nt
Filed under: uncultured bacterium
Lineage: Bacteria
Description: partial 16S ribosomal RNA
Rfam family: Bacterial small subunit ribosomal RNA
Source: RNAcentral
ACAGCAGUAGCCGCGGUAAAACGUAGGGUGCGAGCGUUAAUCGGAAUUACUAGGCGUAAAGCGUGCGCAGGCGGUUUGUUAAGACAGAUGUGAAAUCCCCGGGCUCAACCUGGGAACUGCAUUUGUGACUGGCAAGCUAGAGUAUGGCAGAGGGGGGUGGAAUUCCGCGUGUAGCAGUGAAAUGCGUAGAUAUGCGGAGGAACACCGAUGGCGAAGGCAGCCCCUGGGCCAAUACUGACGCUCAUGCACGAAAGCGUGGGGAGCAAACAGGAUUAGAUACCCCCGUAGUCCCUGUCUCUUAUACA